RNAcentral lists this transfer RNA (73 nucleotides) under Spirochaetota bacterium. RNAcentral's name for it is "Spirochaetes bacterium (freshwater sediment metagenome) tRNA-Thr". It matches the Rfam family "tRNA". Rfam says of the family: Transfer RNA (tRNA) molecules are approximately 80 nucleotides in length. Their secondary structure includes four short double-helical elements and three loops (D, anti-codon, and T loops). Lineage: Bacteria; Pseudomonadati; Spirochaetota. The record is from RNAcentral.
GCCCACGUAGCUCAGGCGGCAGAGCAUUUGCAUGGUAAGCAAAAGGUCACCAGUUCGACUCUGGUCGUGGGCU